AAUCUGAUCCAAUACGAAAACUCCGCGCGUGCUACAACCGUUCGCUCCUCUCCCAUUGUAGCUUCGUAUUAGCACAAAACAAACAAACCCUAACUCUAACCCUAGUCGAAACCCCUUAUCCGAUCAUGGCUACUGAUGCCCGUGACUCGCGUCGCAAGUAUCGCCGAUCAUCCUCUCCGGAGGACGUGGACAGAUCCUCGAAGCGCCACAAGCACCGCCACCACAGCCACCGCCACCGCCACGGGAGCAAAAAACGCGACGAAGAGAUUAAAUUCGAUGAUCGAACAAUUGGUGCGGUUCCUUCUCCAACUCCGCACGGGCAUCUCCCUGACGACGAUGAUGUGGAGGAGGGAGAGAUCCUUGAAGAUGAGGCUCUCGACGGCGAGGUUGGGAAAAAGGAGACGGAAUCUGAUGCUGAACCCGGUGAAAUCAAGGUGACGGGAGAUCGAGAUGUUCGAUCUGAUAAUCAAAAUUCGGGACACCUUACUAAAAUUUCAGUAACUAGAAAUGAGGACAUUAGGGAUGAUAAAUUUAUUAGUCCUGCAAUCAAUGCAGAAGAUGAUGUCUCUCCUAAUUGUUCAAGUUCUGAGACUCGGGAUGGAAAGCAUGCUCAAGCUCGUACAGAUGGCGUGGGCAAUGGUUUUUUGGAUCCUAAAUCUUCCAAAGGGGAUAAGUGGCACAAUGGGGAACUUGGACAUUUUAAAGGUAAUGAGAAACUAAAAGGAGACUUUGAUGAUGAAACACUGGAGGCUAAUGUGAGGAAAGCACAUUACAAUAGGAAUUCAUCCUCUGAAAGUGGAGGGGGAAAAUAUAGAAUGUCAGGAAGUUCUCCUUCUCAUGGUAGAUAUAGAAGUCGAUCAAGAUCAAUUGGUCAUACUAGAGACAGGUCUCGCUCUCGUAGUAUCAUAGAUGAAUAUGCUCAUUCCAAGAGAAGGCGCUCUGACUAUGACCAUGAUGAGGAAAGAGUGAGGGUACGUGGAAGGGAGCAUGGUCAUGGCAGUGUGGUAGAUGAUAGAAGGGAAUACAGUACCAGAUAUCACAAUCGAGAGGCCAGGGAUAGAGAUAGGAGUAGGGAUAGAGAUGUGGAUAGAGACUUGCACAGAGAAAAGAAACAAGAGGAAACUAGCAGGGGUAAAGAGAUUGAGUGGGAACACAAAAGGGGAAAGGAACGUGAAAGGAGCCGUGAGAGGUAUAGAAGGGAUGCAGAAAAAGAUAGGAGCAGGGAAAGGGAGGAGGAUGGGGACAGGAGACAAGAAAAGGAAAGAGAUAGGAGCUGGGAUACAGUGUUUGAGAGGGAUAGGAGAAGGGAAAAGGAAAGAGAUAGAAGUAGGGACAGAACAAUAGGUGGCAAGAGAGAUAGAGACCCGGAGAAUGAAAGGGAUGAUAAGAAUCGGGAAAGGCGAGAUGAUAGAUAUGGGCACAAAGAUAGAGACACUGCAAAUGGUAAGGAUAGGCAUCUGCGUCAUGAGGAUGGUAAUGACAACGGAGAUAGAUAUAGAAAACAUUCAAGGCAUGAAGAAAAUGAAUACCAUUGGGAAAGAAAAAGAAAUUCUGAUAAUCCUGUAAAGGUUUAUAAUUCAAUGGGAAGUACUGCAGAAGUGGAUGAAAGCAAACUAACAAGCAGUGAGGUUGAACCAGAUGACUUAGAGGAGGAUACAUUGCAAUUACCUGAGCAAGAAGAGGAAGAUCUCAACAGGAUUAAAGAAGAGAGUAGAAGAAGAAGGGAAGCAAUAAUGGAGAAAUACAAGAAGCAGCAUCAGCAAGUAGAAGCAGUGGUUGGAAAUGAAGGAAAUGACAAGGAUGCAGACAUUCCUAAUGACAUCUCUGAAGCAUGUGAUGGUAAGACUGAUGAUGCUGAUUAUGUGGAGCCAUCAUUUGCUGUUGGGAAAUCUCCUGAAAAUGUGAAUGUUGCUUCUAAGAAGAUAUCUCCUGCUGGAGGCCUGGGUGAGGGUACUCCAAAGAGUGAAAGGUCAGAGGACAAGUUUUGUGAUGAUAUAUUUGGUGAGACGCCAACGGGAGUUCGGAAAUCAGGAAAAGGAGAUGGUUUGCUGAUUGAGAGGGUUGGCCUACAUGACAAUUGGGACGAUGCAGAGGGUUAUUAUAGCUAUCGUAUUGGUGAAAUACUUGAUAGCCGAUAUGAAGUCACAGCUGCACAUGGGAGGGGUGUCUUUUCGACAGUUGUUCGGGCAAAGAAUCUAAAGAUGGGAAAUGGUGAGCCUGAAGAAGUAGCAAUAAAAAUUAUUCGUAGUAAUGACACCAUGUACAAGGCUGGUAUGGAUGAAUUGGUCAUAUUGAAGAAAUUAGUAGGUGCAGAUCCAGAUGAUAAGCGUCAUUGUGUUCGUUUCCUUUCAAGUUUUAGAUACAGGAAUCAUCUUUGUUUAGUUUUUGAAUCUCUUAAUAUGAAUCUGCGUGAGGUUUUAAAGAAGUUUGGUCGCAAUAUUGGCCUUAGGCUUACAGCUGUGAGAGCAUACGCAAAACAGCUUUUUAUUGCUCUGAAGCAUCUCCGGAACUGUGGUGUUCUUCAUUGUGAUAUAAAGCCAGAUAAUAUGUUGGUAAAUGAGGCUAAGAAUGUUUUGAAGCUUUGUGACUUUGGUAAUGCCAUGUUUGCUGGUAAAAAUGAAGUUACACCAUAUCUUGUGAGUCGUUUUUAUCGUGCCCCGGAAAUAAUACUUGGUUUGCCAUAUGAUCAUCCACUGGAUAUUUGGUCUGUAGGUUGUUGUUUGUAUGAGUUGUAUAUAGGGAAGGUUCUUUUCCCAGGGUUUACAAACAAUGACAUGCUACGGCUUCACAUGGAACUGAAGGGCCCUUUUCCAAAGAAGAUGCUGCGUAAGGGAGCAUUUACUGAACAGCAUUUUGAUCAGGAUCUGAAUUUUCUUGCUACUGAGGAGGAUCCUGUAACAAAAAGGACCAUAAAGCGACUGAUACUCAACAUUAAGCCAAAAGAUAUUGGGACACUCAUUACUGGCUCUCCUGGGGAGGAUCCAAAAAUGUUAGCCAACUUUAAGGAUCUUCUGGAAAAAGUUUUUGUCUUGGAUCCAGACAAGAGGCUGACAGUGUCACAAGCUCUGAACCACCCAUUCAUCACUGGCAAGUGAACAAUGUUGCUGAAUUUGAAUCCCAAAAUGAUAUACACUGAUAUUUGUACAUAAUGAUCCAAUUGAUAUUGAGGUUCUAAUUAUUUGGCACUAUUUAUCUUCUGUGUAUGGCCCAAGGAGUGUCAUCACAGUUGUUGGCAUGUUGAAGUGAAAAAGGGUGAUGUCGCUACAGGCGUACACUUUACUGGCGGUUCUUUCAGUGGAAUGUACUGUUUCUAUUGAGACAUACCACUGGUUUGAGGCAUCCCUUCCAUGCUUAGAUGCUUAAAAGGAACCCAGGAGAAGGUACCUUGGCUUGUUUAUUGGGAGAUUAAUUUCACUGUGCUGGAAUGAAUUAUGAUCCCCAUUAAAAUUCAUUGACAGUGCCAAUAGAAUAAUUGCCACAUUUGAGUGGGAGUUUAUUAAGAUGAGCUGAAUGGUCAUUUUUCAGUCAUGAGGAUAAUCAAUGGUUAUUGGUGAUGUACGUUUGAGUACAUGUGAGCAAAUUAAUUGUUUAUUUUAUUAGCUAGGUAGUCAGGGGGAGGGGAAAUGGUUAGUAUCAAACCUUCUUCCUCAUCCAGAUACAGCUGCCACUGGGCCAUAUGCCUAGCUGCUACUGCCUUUAAAUCAUUUCAGUAUAAAUGAUGGAAUCCCAAGUACUACUGCCUUUUCUGCUUCUUCCUUAUUAUUCUUUUCAGUUUUGUAACUUGAGUUGUGUGUGUAGAUAUCUUAUUUCUUGAACUGUACUUGAGUUGUAUUCUUUUGUUAACAUUUAUUUUCUUAAAUUUACAUAUAUGCAUAUCCUAGUGAACUUGUGCUGCAUCUUAUUCAUGAUGGUGUGUCAUUCUGGAGGCAAUUCUACUGGAUGCGUUUGGCUUUGUUCUUGAAGUGAGAAUUCAUUUCACGGUACUGCAUCUUGGCCAUGCAAUUUUUGUAAGUAUGUCCAAUUUCUCUCUCAUUUUUGUCAAUGUUGAUGGCAUUGAUGGUCCUUGGCAUCCAGUUUCAUAGAAGUUUCACAUCAAGUUCUUGAUUCUGUUUCUAAAUUUGAUGAAUAUCAAGUUUCAAAUUGCACUAAAACUUUCCCGUUGUGUGUUUCUGAUGUUUAAUGUAGAUGGGGUUUAAGUCAGCAUUUUCGUGUAGGGUUCUGUGCCUGUGUUGUUUCUUCUGAUUUAACAUGGUGUUCUUGGCUAUGCUGCUGUUUGGUCAGUUUUGUACUUUUUCUUGACAUCCAUUGAUGAGCAUGUUGAUUCCGUUUUAUUUAUUUUAGAGAAUGAAAUGGAGUUUUAUUUUUUGGUAAAAAUUCAUUUCUUGAAGUAACGCAAUACACAUACACGCCCUCAAUCACACUUCCGUUAAUGUGUGAGUUUUGGUUAUUUCUGAAUUUAGGGGAGGGGAUGGUUAGCCCAGUCUAGGGUUGGGAUACAGCAAUACAGGGGACUAGCAAAUAACCCACCGGAUUCAAAACUCAAUUGCAGUGUUUAUAACGGGCAGAGGAUGACAAGGUGAGCCAAAUUCUUUUGGUAGCCUUCAGUGUAUUGGGCAUCAUGGGAUUUACAUUAUGUCAAUCUACCUUUUUAUAUUUUCAAUUUCGAGAAUGAAGAAAAAAUAAAGUAGCUUUAAAAUUUUAAAUAAAAUAAUCAUUAGCCAUAGUUUAUGAUUGGGUAAUUAUGAUAUCAACUGAUCUAUAAAUAGUCAACCUCACCCAGCGGGAAAAGGUUUACUUGAUAGCCAUAGCUUUACUAAUUUCCGAUUUCUAUAAUUGGAAACAACUACCUAAUAACUACCAUCUCCUAUUUUAUGGAUCAAUCUUGUAUCUUGGAGCAACAAAUAAGACCCGUGUCAAACAUUGUCCUAUUAAUGUAGAUGUACCUUGGUUGUACAACUUUUAAUGGAAACUUUCAAAAUGGGAUUGUCCUUGGAUGUGGGUAGUUUCUACCUGAUUCUUGAUAUAUGUCACGCUUAUUCACUUAAUAUCCCGAUCACUUCUGCCGUGUAAUGUUGUAUAGCUUAAAUGGUAUUUUCCUUUAGUAAAGCAUUUUUGUAAAGUAUUCCAAAAAGAAUGCCGAUUUUAUUGAGUCAUUUGAAAUGUUUAUAUUUCAUUGAUGUGGAUCCCCAGAGUAUCAAUUUUCAUGGGUAAGAAAUACUGCAAGUCUGGUACUUGGAGUGAAUAUUUAUUGAGUCAGCUAACAGAGUUGAAGAUAUAGAGAAUAGUGAAAUGAAGUGGCAAUUACAUAGCGUAGUGUGGUAUUGCAUGGUAGGCCAAGGCCUCAGUUUUCUUCGCAGAAUUCUCUGCCCCAGCCGGUCCAGCUCUACACAUGGUAUUGCAUGUGUUAUUAGCAUUUCUCUUCCAUGUUUUUUUUAGAAUGUUGAGCUAAGUUUUAUUUAGGAUUUUUUUUUAAAUAAUCGGGAAAAGGCUUACAAAGUCCUCAGGCAAGAGAGUAAGCCGAAUCCUACACUUGACGGUGAAUAAGAUUAACUUUCCUCCUCUGAGGAACAAGCUUGGGUUGCAGAAAGAAUGUAGCUCUGAUAUCCUCACACCUCUGUAAAACCCACGUUGAUUCCCCGCUCUAUGAAGGCUUGUAUAGUAAUAAUUGACUGUUAUUCCACUUUCCCAAAAACUAAUUGUCUGGGCAGGGCGUACCCAAAUACAAAUGUACGUGUGUAUGUUAGAUCGAGAUAUGGAAAUGAAAAUAUGAUCUGGUGUAGUUGUGGGGGUAA
Glycine soja is the source of this 5792-nucleotide RNA transcript. It is a transcript of the gene named serine/threonine-protein kinase prpf4B-like, with no coding region annotated. The record is from RefSeq and is a predicted model, not a curated record. Lineage: Eukaryota; Viridiplantae; Streptophyta; Magnoliopsida; Fabales; Fabaceae. The transcript is spliced from 14 exons.